UUUUCUUUUCAAUUUUUAAGUUACUAUUAUCAAAACUACGUCAUUUUGAUUCUAUUUAAAACACAACAUAAAACCCUAGCCUACACGUUUCUCAUUCAGCCGCCCCUCCCCAUUUCCCCUAAUCCUUUUCAUUUUCUCUCUCUCUCUCUCUCACUUCUUAGCUUGUAGCAGCGACAUCUCCGGCGAGCUACAGAGGCUCAUAAGCUUGCUGCCGGCGUCGGAGGACAGCAAUGGCCAGUCGGGCGAGGUUCACCCUAAGCCUUGCAUGGGUUUUUUGCAGAGAGAGAAUUUCUCUACCGAGAUAAUUGAGAGCAUUUCGCCUGAGGAUCUUCAGCCGAUGGUGAAGAUCUGCAUAGACGAGCUGCAAUCGUUGUCGAUUGCGAUGAAGCGAUCUGCCGUGGCAAAGCUCAGGGUUUUGGGUAAGAACCGGGCUGAUAACCAAGCUCUAAUCGACGAGUCCAGUGCCGUUCCAGCUUUGAUUCCGCUUCUCCGGUGUGGUGAUCUGUGUUUUUUUUAUCCUUUAUUUUGGGAAUUUUUCAUGGGUAUGUUUGUAUGUUUUGUUUUCAGCUAUAUAGUUUCAGUUUAGUAUCGACAAGAUUUUAUUUUUAGAGUAUUCCAUGUUUUGCUGAUUGAUCUUUGAACAUUUUCUAUUCGUUGAUAAGAUUCUUUUGAAUUUAUUUAUCUCACUCACUCUUCUUUCGGAUUAAACAGAGGUUUUAUGGUUUUGCAAUAUGCUUUGUUGCUGGUUUGACUUGUACACUCUUAGCAAGUUUUGAACAUUUAGUUAUUAAGUUUAGAUUUCUUUCUGGUUAGUUACUACUGAUUAUGUUGAAUUAUAUAUGUGCUUUUAGUGGAAAGUUAAUGGAGGUGACUUCAUUUGGAUAAAUAGAAAGGUGGCUUAUUAGGUUUUCGUUAAGAUGUGUAUCUCUGCUAAGAACCUUGACAACUAGUAAAUGUAUAUUGAAUAAAGGAAUUAUUACCUAUAUAAAAAAAAAAGGGAAUUAUUGGCAGACUAUUGAAUCUAUGAAGUUUUUCUAGUUAGAUGCAUUUGGAUGAACCAGAUUUUGCAGAAAAGGGUAAUUUCCUUUCCAUCUAUCCCAAUUGCUCCAAUUCCCCAAAUAUGUGACACUUUUGUUCGUAAAAACUAAAUUUAGUGCCCCAAAAAUUUAUUUUAUUUAUUUAUUUCUUCCUUUGGUUUGCCUUUAUAUAAGCUGAGCAUCAAGGGCAAUGGGUUGAAAUCUUAAUUAGGAUUUUCUCGGGAGAAAGUCAAGAAAAGUAGGGCUGUAGCAUCUCAAGAGCUCAUUGUUUAAUAAAUAAACUUAGUUUCAUGCCUUCACAUAACUAGAGUCUAUACUUUGGAAACUUUAUGCAUCAAGAUACUUAAAAAAAAAAAAAAAUCAUUAUAAAUUGCACGAAAGGAAAAUGGAUCUCUCAAUUAGAAUGAGCUCAUAGUCAUGACUAAUUGAUCUUAAAAAGCAUGCUCAACCAUGCUUUGUUUGCUAACUGGUUCUCUCUAUCAAGGAUUUCAUUGAAGAUUCUGCUGUUGCUCAUAUUUUUAUUUAUUUUUCUAUUGAUAAUGUGAUCUCCCAUUUUAAAAUUUUACCCCAAACUCAACACCAAUAAUAAGAAUUUGACUCAUCAAAAUCAAAUUCUCCACGACAGUGGCAGUAUAAGGAUAAUGGCUUCCUCCUCCGCCUCUGUGGCCGAACAAGUAAGGGCCCCUCCUGCUCUUCCUUUGCCCACUCCCCCUGUUGGCAAGGAAAAUCUCUCUCUCCCUCUCAUUGAUUUGUGCUUUUUUCUUUUUCUUAUUUUAUUUAUAUAUAAAUGGUGUGCAGUUUAUGGUUGUGUUGUGCCAAAUAACCGUAACUCCCGAUAAGGAGAGGAACAUCGCCCAUGCUCGUAGCAAGAUCCAGGAGGCUGCUGCUAAGGGCGCCAAGCUUGUUCUCUUGCCCCAUGUACUGGAGAGGGGAAAGCCUCAUGAAAGAAGCCAGAUUAUAAGCAAGUUGUCAGGACAUUUUGUACAACUGAGCUAGCAUAAAUUUGCAUCAAACGUUAUUAAGAAAUGUUUGGAGUAUGGUGGCCCCACUGGACGAGAACUAUUAAUUGGGGAGAUUUUUGGGCAUAGUGAAGGAACUGAUAAUUUAUUGGCCGAAGGUUUCAUCGGCACUUUUCUUCAAUUACAACACCUCGAUGGGACUGCCAUAUCGGGUUUUGGUAGAUACCAACUUCGUCAAUUUCUCUAUCCAGAAUAAACUGGACUUGGAGAAGGGAAUGAUGAACUGCCUAUAUGCAAAAUGUGAGUUUAGAAUCACUAGUUUCUUCAAUUUAAUGUGAAUAUUAAUUUGCUGCAAGAAUUGUUGUGCCAUGUUGAUGAGGUAUCCUAAGUUCAACAUAGUUGUUAAUGUGGUUUUAUAACAAGCAUUGAGUGCCAUGUAUCAUUGGCAAACACUUAAAUAGGUGUUGGUUGCUUAAUGAUAUUUAUCAAAAUAUUACUCUUGGUUGUGUGGAUGUCCAUGAGAAUGCUUAAGGAAUAAAAUGAGGAUCUUUUUUUAAAUUAU
Molecule: long non-coding RNA, 2558 nt
Organism: Quercus lobata
Lineage: Eukaryota; Viridiplantae; Streptophyta; Magnoliopsida; Fagales; Fagaceae
Exons: 4
Source: RefSeq, a predicted model, not a curated record